UUUCACUAUAGGAUGCAAUGCACUAUGACUAUGGUAUGGUAUCUGAUUUAAUUUGGUGCAAAUGGAAAAACCAGCAAUCUAUUAUAAGAAACGCAGAUAUAUAAAUUAAUAAAAGCAGAAGAAAAACAACAACUAGCACUACACAUUAUUUAGUGACAUAAAUAUCAUCAAAUGCAUAUCCAUUAUACAUCAUCAAUAUAUACAUAUCAUAUCAUAUUCAAACUACAUUUGCCAUCAGAAAAAAAGCCCUACUGAUCUAAUCUACCCAUCCAUAAAUUCCCAAUACAGGCUGGCAUCUAUGUCACGAUAAUGAUCAUAAGAUCCAUAACCCCAUAUUCGAAACAAAAACACAACCCAAAUUAUUAAAAAACAAUAAAAAAUAAAAAAUGAGUUCAUUCAUGAUUAUUGCUCAGACUCAGAGUUUCUGAUAGUAUUCUCAGCGAUCUGACCCAACGACUGUAAAUUACAACGUACAAUAGUAUCAACAAAAAAACACGUUUCCUCCUUCGUGUUACCUUGCGGUACAUCAACAACGUAUGAUUCAAUGACAAGUGUCCUAUCUCCGUCGACAGAAUGAAGCGUCGUCACCGACCGGUAGUUUCUCAGACGGUGGUCCCCACCAACAACACUGAAGCUGAUGACGUGGCGUUCAUCGUCAAGAAUCUCCAGCCUUUCAGUGCUGGACUCAGCUGGAAGUCCUGAAACAACACGAACUUCACGGACGGCGCCGACGGUGAUGUUUUCUCCGGUGAUGACUUGGCAGCUUUUGACGAAGUUUUUGUAUCCUUGUGGAUUUUCGAAGCGUCGAACUACAGGCCAUACGGCGGAGAUAGGGGCGGAGAUUGUUUGUGUGACGACGGAGCAGCACUGGUUUGGUCCAACCAUGUGUGCGUGGUGAAGAGAUAACGUGUCUAGGACUAGGGUUCCUCCGUUGGAAGAAGAUAAAGAUGGUGGAAAUGGGAUAACUAAACGACGCGCCGCCGUGGGUGGUGGUGUUUGUGGUUGUCUAGGGCAGUUUGCACCGUUUGCUAUGGCUAAGUAGGUGGUUGCAUCGGUUGUACGGUUGAAUCUCUCAAGCUGAAGAGAAAAACUUGAUGGCAUUUUAAAAAAAAAUAUAUAUAUAUCUAAAAAAUAAACAAUAAAAAUGAAACUCUCUAAGGGAGAUGAAUAUGAUUAUGAGAACAUGCGUGUUAAUGAUUUAAUGAUGAAGAAGAAAAUGAAGAAAGCUAUAUAUGAAGUAAGAGAGGCAAAGGUGUUAUGUGAGAAAUAUUUUUGUAGUACAAGUUGCAAUAUAGUUUUGGUGUAGUUAAGGUUUUUUUUUUCUUUUUCUUUUCUUCUUUGUUCUUUUUCAGCUCCGUGAGAUAAGGGCUGAGAAAGUAAUGAGAUAGAUGAUAGGAAUGGGAUUGAGGUUGGGUUGGUUAUACAAGGUUGUUGUUGGGGUUAUUGAUUUCUUGCAAAGCCACAAAGAAGCUUACGCAUGGUUAUGCAAGUGGAUGAUCAACUUGCAAAUGUAUUUGGUCUUAGUUUUAUCAAUUAUCCAUUUUUUUCUUUAUUUCAAAUUCCAACUUUUCCUUCUCUCCCUCCAUCCCUAUUAUUUUAUUGUUCACUUGUAUAUGAAUAAAGUUUUUU
RNAcentral lists this long non-coding RNA (1629 nucleotides) under Medicago truncatula (barrel medic). RNAcentral's name for it is "lncRNA gene16816". The record is from RNAcentral. Lineage: Eukaryota; Viridiplantae; Streptophyta; Magnoliopsida; Fabales; Fabaceae.